RNAcentral lists this ribosomal RNA (426 nucleotides) under uncultured bacterium. RNAcentral's name for it is "bacterial SSU rRNA". It matches the Rfam family "Bacterial small subunit ribosomal RNA", at positions 841 to 1269 of the family's 1533-position model. The record is from RNAcentral.
CGGUGUCGCAGCUAACGCGUUAAGUUCUCCCGCCUGGGGAGUACGCCGGCAACGGUAAAACUCAAAGGAAUUGACGGGGACCCGCACGAGCGGUGGAGCAUGUGGUUUAAUUCGAUGCAACGCGAAGAACCUUACCUGUCCCUUGACAUUGACAGAACCCUGUAGAGAUACGGGGGUGCUUCGGCCUGGAAAACAGGUGCUGCAUGGCUGUCGUCAGCUCGUGUCGUGAGAUGUUGGGUUAAGUCCCGCAACGAGCGCAACCCUUGUCCUUAGUUGCCAGCACUUCGGGUGGGGACUCUAGGGAGACUGCCGGUGACAAACCGGGGGAAGGUGGGGACGACGUCAAGUCAUCAUGGCCCUUAUGGGCAGGGCUACACACGUGCUACAAUGGGGAGUACAGAGGGCCGCCAACCAGCAAUGAGAGCC